RNAcentral lists this ribosomal RNA (548 nucleotides) under Tetrapisispora taiwanensis (nom. inval.). Its description in RNAcentral is "eukaryotic LSU rRNA". The stretch from base 165 to 318 matches the Rfam family "5.8S ribosomal RNA". The record is from RNAcentral. Lineage: Eukaryota; Fungi; Ascomycota; Saccharomycetes; Saccharomycetales; Saccharomycetaceae.
AUAAUCGAGCCAGCGCUUAAGUGCGCGGUUUGAGAAGGACACAUUCUUUAAAUUUACACACAUUGAAGAUAUUAAUUAAUUUAUUAGUAUAAAAAACCUGAUAAACCCGAUAUAUUUUUUAUAAUUGUCAACAAGAUUUCUUUAUUGAAAACUAAACAAAUUAAAACUUUCAACAACGGAUCUCUUGGUUCUCGCGCCGAUGAAGAACGCAGCGAAAUGCGAUACGUAAUGUGAAUUGCAUAAUUCCGUGAAUCAUCGAAUCUUUGAACGCACAUUGCGCCCCAUAGUAUUCUGUGGGGCAUGCCUGUUUGAGCGUCAUUUCCUUCUCAACAAGCGAUUGUUGGUAGUGAGUGAUACUCUUGAAAAUAUUUUGAGUUAGCUUGAAAGUGAAUUAAUGAAGCGACGGAGCCUAUUUAUGGUAGGAUACGUUAAGCGAAUGAAUUAGGUUUUACCAAGUCUGUUUGUUUAAGUGUGCUAUUUUGUGGGACGCUGUCAUUGCGGAAAUUAAAGACGACACAAGUUUGACCUCAAAUCAGGUAGGAAUACCC